RNAcentral lists this transfer RNA (68 nucleotides) under Micropotamogale ruwenzorii (Ruwenzori otter shrew). RNAcentral's name for it is "tRNA-Glu". Lineage: Eukaryota; Metazoa; Chordata; Mammalia; Afrosoricida; Tenrecidae. The record is from RNAcentral.
GUUUUUAUAGUUGAACUACAACGGUGGCUUUUCAUGUCACAGGUUACAGUUAAGUCUGUAUAGAAAUG